GCCGUCACAGUGUGUGUCAACACGCUUUCUUCUGACACUUAACGGCAUCAAGACCAAACCAAGGAGUAUAAUCAGCGAAACACAAGAGGUUUGCAAUGGUGCAAUGUCUGGUGUUCACACUGCUCUGGGUCUGUGCUGUGGCACUGCUUUCCCUUGGGAGUACAGAGAGAGUAUCUCAAACGACUGAGCCAAGUGUCUCUAGGAGCACAGACCCGACGGCUGAGACAGUUACUUUAGGACCAGUUGAGACCCAAAGCCCUGGUACACACACAGACCAGAGCAUAGAAGAAGAACAAGAACCACUUCCCUCAGACCCCUGUCAGGAUGACGAGUUGGAUAAGAGGGUGUACCAGAGGGAUUCUCAUGGUGUUAUGCAGCUGGUUCAGGGAGAGGACUACAAAAACACUUGCAACCUAUCAGACACUCCAGGUGAACAGGCCCACUGUCUUAUCUACCCUACCAAUCAACUCAACUGCUCCUGGAAUUUCCAUGGUCUCCCUAACGACAGCCAAUCCUACGCCUCCGUCUUUGUGUGUAAGAAAACUGAGAGAAUCUCCAGUGUGGACUGUGUCACUGAGGCCACAGGAGGCCAAGGAGCCCAGGGAGGGACUGGAAAGGCUGACCGUGUGGUUGGAAAUGUGUCUGCUGGGUGCCAAGGCAGUGUGGACAACAGCGCCACCUCGGUGAUCCUGACUUUCAACGUGUCAUGCUCUGACGUGUGGGGCAUCUACACCCAUAAAUACCAGACCAAAGAUAUUGAUGUGCUGCGCCCGCCCCCCGACAUCAACCUAGCCUGGGUCAGAGAGGGGGUUCUGCUGGUGCAGUGGGGUCUCCCAUCCAGCCGGUCACGCAACAAAUCCAGCUGCUUCCACUACCAGCUACAGAUCAAUGACCAGGUGAGGAACUUUACGGGUUUACUGACAUACAAUGAGACCAACGCAGACCCUACACAUUCACACAAUGUGAAGAUGAGGGUGAGGAAGAGUAAAACCUGCAGAGGAUCUCAACACUGGAGCAGCUGGAGCAACACCACCAAGGUGGCCCCGUUUAAAUUUCCCAAUCAGCUGAACUCUCUGGUGGUCGUUGGCAUCGCUCUGGGAAUACCCAUGAUCCUCCUGUCUCUGCUGCUGCUGAUUCGACUCCAGAGGGAACGUCUGUUUCCCCACAUCCCUGGUCCCCCACUGAAGAUUAAACACCUCUUGGAGAGAGACGACCAGUUUCAGUUUGUCCCUCAGGCCCUGCAGCCCAAAUUUGUUGAGGAGAUCACAGUGGUGGAGGAAGCUAAGGAAACACCUGUGAAUUUGGCCAGUUAAACAAGAUGGCCUGUUUAAAGCCCAAUCAUCCUAAUCCCCUAGACUGUGUAAGGGCCGAUCUGUAAGGAGGAUCCCCUUAGCAGAUGCAGUCAUUACCAUUUGUUAAUACCUAUCCAAUCCUUUCAAGAGUGGAUGCUACUUAUUGACAUGCAUUGUUCUUACAUGCUUAUUAGUGUCUACUCAAUUAAUUGUUGUAAUGUGCUCAGCUUCUACCAGUGUUGUAGUUCUCAAGACCGAGACCAGUCCAGUCUUGAGACCACAUAUGGGUCUUGUCUUGGUGUCAGCUACAUUCGUACUUGGUCGUGACUCAGUCUCAGACAGUGAGGACUCGUAAUUUCUUCCCUAGACCAGUGGAGUAAAAACACUCAAACAUAUACACUCCCAUCUUGAAACAUUAUCUUAACAACCGUUAUCUAUUAUAGACAUGGUUACGCAGUGGUGAACCUAUAGGUCUUCAGUAUGUGACAGGUUAGUACAGUGGUGAACCUAUAGGUCUUCAGUGUGUGACAGGUUAGUACAGUGGUGAACCUAUAGGUCUUCAGUGGUGAACCUAUAGGUCUUCAGUGUGUAACAGGUUAGUACAGUGGUGAACCUAUAGGUCUUCAGUGUGUGACAGGUUAGUACAGUGGUGAACCUAUAGGUCUUCAGUGUGUAACAGGUUAGUACAGUGGUGAACCUAUAGGCCUUCAGUAUGUGACAGGUUAGUACAGUGGUGAACCUAUAGGCCUUCAGUGUGUGACAGGUUAGCACAGUGGUGAACCUAUAGGCAUUCAGUGUGUGACAGGUUAGUACAGUGGUGAACCUAUAGGUCUUCAGUGUGUGACAGGUUAGUAAAGUGGUGAACCUGUAGGCCUUCAGUGUGUAACAGGUUAGUACAGUGGUGAACCUAUAGGACUUCAGUGUGUGUGUGACAGGUUAGUACAGUGGUGAACCUAUAGGUCUUCAGUGUAUGACAGGUUAGUACAGUGGUGAACCUAUAGGUCUUCAGUGUGUGACAGGUUAGUACAGUGGUGAACCUAUAGGACUUCAGUGUGUGACAGGUUAGUACAGUGGUGAACCUAUAGGUCUUCAGUAUGUAACAGGUUAGUACAGUGGUGAACCUAUAGGCCUUCAGUGUGUGACAGGUUAGUACAGUGGUGAACCUAUAGGUCUUCAGUGUGUGACAGGUUAGUACAGUGGUGAACCUAUAGGUCUUCAGUAUGUAACAGGUUAGUACAGUGGUGAACCUAUAGGUCUUCAGUGUGUGACAGGUUAGUACAGUGGUGAACCUAUAGGUCUUCAGUGUAACAGGUUAGUACAGUGGUGAACCUAUAGGUCUUCAGUAUGUAACUGGUUAGUACAGUGGUGAACCUAUAGGUCUUCAGUGUGUGACAGGUUAGUACAGUGGUGAACCUAUAGGCCUUCAGUGUGUGACAGGUUAGUACAGUGGUGAACCUAUAGGCCUUCAGUGUGUGACAGGUUGGUGAUUCUGAAAGGACAGCAACCGUAAUACCAGACACUCAUGUAGGAGAGUGCACUUUUUGUAAAACACAAAGGGACAGUGGUGUAGUGGAGGUAUUUUUUCAGUGGGAAUUGCCUAUACUCACUUAAUCCUAUUGAUGCGUAUCAAAGUAGUGUAGUGGAGUAUACGCAGGUAUUUUUUCAGUGGGCAUUGCCUAUACUCACUUAAUCCUAUUGAUGCGUAUCAAAGUAGUGUAGUGGAGGCAGUGGCGACCCAUCAUUAAGGGCAGUUCUUCAGUCCCACCUGUUUAGCAGGGGGUGUGCCUGUUUUGCAUGUUAUUUUGUCAUUAAUAUGUGUCACAUAUCAGUUUGAAAAAAAUGAAUGAGUUAAUAAAGCUUCAUACAAACAUGGUAUUUAUUUUCUUUCUUGAGUGAGGGAGCUCCAAAAUGCAGAUGUUUCCACUUAGUUCAGUGCUUUCUGUGGUGGGGCAGCCAGCGGAAAAUACUGAGCGUAGGAGUUGGUAAAGUUCUCUUGUUGCGCCUUGAAAGUAUGACUCAGUGUUCUGUCACUCAUGGGGACACUACGUCACGGCAAAAUUCAAGCCCCUUGGGUGCUGCCAUAGAGUUACAUUAGAAGUGCCCAUCCAAUAAGGCUCAAGGUCAUUGGCCACAGAUAAAAUGAUGUCAAAUCAUGUUAUAUCUACCAUAGCUUUGAUUGGAUGGAUCAUGUCAACAUCAUACUUUCUAAAUCUUAGCUAGUAAGCUAGCAGUCAUGAUCAUGAAUCUAGUUAGCAAUCUACAGGCAAAUCCUUUUCAAUCCUUG
This is a long non-coding RNA of Oncorhynchus tshawytscha (Chinook salmon), 3576 nucleotides long. The record is from Ensembl. NCBI's taxonomy places the organism in Eukaryota, Metazoa, Chordata, Actinopteri, Salmoniformes, Salmonidae.